AGUGAACGCUGGCGGUAGGCCUAACACAUGCAAGUCGAACGGCAGCACAGUAAGAGCUUGCUCUUACGGGUGGCGAGUGGCGGACGGGUGAGGAAUACAUCGGAAUCUACUUUUUCGUGGGGGAUAACGUAGGGAAACUUACGCUAAUACCGCAUACGACCUACGGGUGAAAGCAGGGGAACUUCGGACCUUGCGCGAUUGAAUGAGCCGAUGUCGGAUUGGCUAGUUGGCGGGGUAAAGGCCCACCAAGGCGACGAUCCGUAGCUGGUCUGAGAGGAUGAUCAGCCACACUGGAACUGAGACACGGUCCAGACUCCUACGGGAGGCAGCAGUGGGGAAUAUUGGACAAUGGGCGCAAGCCUGAUCCAGCCAUACCGCGUGGGUGAAGAAGGCCUUCGGGUUGUAAAGCCCUUUUGUUGGGAAAGAAAAGCAGCAGGUUAAUACCCCGCUGUUCUGACGGUACCCAAAGAAUAAGCACCGGCUAACUUCGUG
This 492-nucleotide ribosomal RNA is filed under the name uncultured bacterium. Its description in RNAcentral is "partial 16S ribosomal RNA". It matches the Rfam family "Bacterial small subunit ribosomal RNA", at positions 29 to 507 of the family's 1533-position model. The record is from RNAcentral.